RNAcentral lists this ribosomal RNA (429 nucleotides) under Acidobacteriota bacterium. RNAcentral's name for it is "Acidobacteria bacterium partial 16S ribosomal RNA". It matches the Rfam family "Bacterial small subunit ribosomal RNA", at positions 355 to 776 of the family's 1533-position model. The record is from RNAcentral. Lineage: Bacteria; Pseudomonadati; Acidobacteriota.
UGGGGAAUUUUGGACAAUGGGGGAAACCCUGAUCCAGCCAUCCCGCGUGUGCGAUGAAGGCCUUCGGGUUGUAAAGCACUUUUGGCAGGAAAGAAACGUCAUGGGUUAAUACCCCGUGAAACUGACGGUACCUGCAGAAUAAGCACCGGCUAACUACGUGCCAGCAGCCGCGGUAAUACGUAGGGUGCAAGCGUUAAUCGGAAUUACUGGGCGUAAAGCGUGCGCAGGCGGUUCGGAAAGAAAGAUGUGAAAUCCCAGAGCUCAACUUUGGAACUGCCUUUUUAACUACCGGGCUAGAGUGUGUCAGAGGGAGGUGGAAUUCCGCGUGUAGCAGUGAAAUGCGUAGAUAUGCGGAGGAACACCGAUGGCGAAGGCAGCCUCCUGGGAUAACACUGACGCUCAUGCACGAAAGCGUGGGGAGCAAACAGG